This 7970-nucleotide long non-coding RNA is filed under the name Podarcis lilfordi (Lilford's wall lizard). The record is from RNAcentral. Lineage: Eukaryota; Metazoa; Chordata; Lepidosauria; Squamata; Lacertidae.
CUUUGUUAUUCUGAGAGCAAGAGGAUUCACGCUCCAAGAAACCUGGGUGUGUAUUUUAGAGUGUUGCUGACAUGCCAAGAAAAUGAGUAAAUCAGGUUGCUAUGUGGAAUUGCUCAUAUUGCCGGAUCAUUUACUUAUUCAUUAAAAAAAAUGUACACAGCAAUUUUUUUUAAAAUGAUGCAGUUUACAACUAUACAAACAUAAUAAAAGACACAUAAAAAUUAAAAUCAGAAAUCAUUGUUAUCUCCAUUAGGCAUCAUUGUGGGACUGGUAGUUCUUGAUUCAAUUACCACAUAUUAAUAUUAUAUUUUUAGUGACAGCAGUAAUCAAUUCUAAGUUUAAAUGUGGAACAAGAGGGGAAAGAGAAAGAAAUAGCAACAGAUGGAAAAUUACCAUUUAGUGCAAGUGGUUUGGCCAGCCUAAUCAAUGCUAUAUCAUUCUUCAUUGUUUUGGGUUUAUAAUUUUUAUGGUAUAUAAUUUUGUCCACUAAAUAUGGAUUAGCAGGGCCUUCUUCCAGUAUUACAAAGCCCGCAUACACACUCCAAGCUCUUGGGAAGUACAAACUGAAACAAAGACAUUAGAAAAAGAAAGGGUUAGUGGCUUCCAACAUUUAAAAUCAUUUGCCAAACCUGUGUGACACAUUUUUGGCCUCAGUGUUAAAUCCAUUCUGGCACAAGAAGUCAUUUCCAGCAAUGACAGAAUUACACUAAGAUUCACAUUUCUAGAAAUCGUGUUUAAUUAUAGCAGCUUGUUAGGAUUUUUUUAUAUACUCAUCAGUGCUCAGCCAUGAUUAAUUUCAGAUCUGAAACCAAUGCUUAUUAGUAUCAAAUAUUUGAUAAAUCAAUUUCUAAUGCCCAGCUUGCCAGUAAAACAUUUAUUCUUAUUUUUAUCUGUAAGAUGCCUUGAGUCCAUGUCAGGGAAAAAGGCAGGGUAUAAAAUAGUAGUAGUAGUCAUACAGUAGUAGUAGUACCCUGCUGAUUUCAUUUUUUUCCUUCUGAUGAUGCAUCCCUCCACCUAUUGACAUUAAUUUGGUCAAUGCUACAUUAAAUUAUCUGUAAUCCUCUACAGUCUGCUUCCUGGGGAAUUUGUUGUUGCAAUCCAGCAAUGCUCCUGUUCUUGGCUAUUCUAUCGCAACACCCUGCUCCUUCACUGAUAGUGCUUUUUUUAUUAUUAUUAUUAUUUUUUUUGGUCUUUUUAAAGGUGUUCCUCAGUGUGUACCAUUACUAGGAUGGAAGGAUCUGACCAUUUCAGUGCUCUCAGUUUCUCAUUUUUCCAAUCUUGAAUUCAGUUCUCCACAUUUCUGCAGCAAUUUGUGAACCUUGCUGUAAAAAACGUCAUGAAAAUGUGAACUGAAAUUAAAUUCUCCCCAGGCCCUAACAUCUGUACCUGUUCAUAUUUAACCACAUCUCUUAUUGCAGAAGCUAAAACUGAUUUGUCAUGACCUUCCUGUGUCAAGAAAUUGCCCUUCUUUUCCCUAGCAUAGUAUUGUGCCCUUUACACAUCUCAAUAGUGACUAAUAAUAAUAAUAAUAAUAAAUUAUUUAUACCCCAGCCAUCUGUUUGGGUUUCCCUAGACACUCUGGGCAGCUCCCAACUGAACAUUAAAAGCACAAUAAAAUAUCAAACAUUAAAAACUUCCCGAAACAGAGCUGCCUUCAGAUGUCUUCUAAAAGCCAGAUAGUUGUUUAUUUCCUUGACAUCUGACAGGAGGGCGUUCCACAGGGCAGGCGCCAUCACCAAAAAGGCCCUCUGCCUGAUUCCCUGUAACCUCACAUCUCACUGCGAGAAGGCCCUCAGCGCUAGACCUCAGUGUCCAGGCAGAACAAUGGGGGUAGAGACACUCCUUCAGGUAUACUGGGCCAAGGCCAUUUAGGGCAUUAAAGGUCAGCACCAACACUUUGAAUUGUGCUCGGAAACGUACUGGGAGCCAAUGUAGGUCUUUCAGGACCAGUGUUAUAUGGUCUCAGUGGCCACUCCCAGUCACCAGUCUAGCUGCCACAUGUGAGAAACGUUACUACGGCUUUGCUCCCUGGCACUGCUGCGUCAUUUAAAAACCUGGCCACUAUGUGAGCAGGACACUUACUUCACAACUGUGGCCCAGCUAGGAUUGGAGUCAACAACUGGUUGGGAACAACCCACGCAAUAGGUGUCUGCUGCGCAAAAACAUGGCAAACGAGACAAGGCACUUACUCAUAAACACAGUGGGCUGCUGUUACAAUCCACCAAGGGGUGAUGAUAGAUCCACCACACAAAUGAUAUCCUUGGAACUGAAGGCUGGCUUGCCAUGGCCAUUGCUGGGGCAUCGACGCAUUUCCUCCCACUAUACGGGGGGCAUACCUGGACCGAGCGCCACACGCUGUAGAAAAGGGAAAGUAGCGUCACUGGAAUCACUAGUGAGGAAUCCUUAUCUGGACGAGCUGUACAUACAGAGAUGUACCUAGGGUCCCUUGUGCAAGGAGCUGUAUUAGUGCCCCUCCUGGGGAAAAGGCCCUUUAGCACAACAGCCACGUUAGAAAGUACUAUAUUUUACACAAGUACUUGAAGUGUCCGGAGUGAGGAUGAGGUGAGGAGGAAGGGCAAAAAGUUCACACACCUUUGUGCUGCAGUGUGAGGAGGAUGGGAAACUUCUCCUGUGUUUGAUCUCACUGUGACAGUGUUGGUGCAUCACUACACACAAAUACUUCAUACACUCUAUAGUCCAAUAGGUGAUUUUUUGUGAUAAAAAAUAAACAAACCCAGGCCUGAGCCUCUAGCAGGGUCUGUUCUCGCUAACUCCUAGCUAUGUCUCUGUGCACAUAUAUUUUAAAGACCCAGUUCUUGAAUCUAAGUCAUGCUUAGAGAGACACAUAAGAAUAUUCAUGAGAAAUAUAUUGUCUUACUUUGGGGGUGUUCCCAAAUCACUCUCUCUUUUUCUCUAACUCAUCUGCCAGUUCUCGCUUGUAUAAGUUUUCUCUCCUAGUUGCUAAAUUUUUAUUUACAGAAAGGAGAUAUUUCUUAGAAUUGCUGUCAAUUUUCACUCACUGAAAGGUCUCCUGUACGUGAUUUGACCCCGGAAAUGAAUUAGAGCCACUACCAUGCUCUCAACUUGCAUAUUUCAACUUGCACAAACGAACUUUUAGCUUGCACAUUCUCCCACAAUACUUGUUGUGAAACUGAUGUUACAUUCUGCUGUUUUUCAAAGCGCUUACCCAAACAUUUUAGGAUGAUCACAUAGCCUGAGGCACACUCUUCUCUGAAAUGAAAAGAAGACAAAGUGAUAGACCUGAAUGCUUGCUACCUCUCUUUCCACUUCAUCCAUCAAAUUAAAUUGAGGUUCAAUGUGUUAAGUCUAAAAGAAAGAAAAAAGGAGCCCCUUCUUAAAAGUAUUCUUCCAGCUUCUGUUGCCUUUUCAUUUUUAUUUAAACUGUUCUAAAUGUUUUCAUAUAUGACAUAGUAUCAUUGGUGGUAUCUUUUGCUGAUAUUUAAAGAUAUGAAAUUGCUUUGAUUUAUUUUAUAAGAAGCGAUUUGUAAACAGAAUUAAAUAAAUAAACAAAGCACCCUUCCUUUGUAUUGCUAUGAGGCAAUGGUUUUGAGGGAGGGGCUCCAGGGGUCCUGUGCACUUUUCUUUCCCUUCCCACCCUCCCCCAUUGCUGCACUGGUUGUUCACUCUUAUACACACACACACACACACACACACACACACACACACGCCAGAUGGUGGUGGGAAGGGGUAAAAUGGAUCCCCAUUUCUUUCUUUUGCGACACGGCGCUGUCACGCAAGCCGACAACAUGGCAGCUCCUCCUUCUCCUGCUGCAGAGGGAAAGCAGCCCCUGGCCUAUGGGGGUGGCAGGAAGCCAAGAAACCCCUGGCCAUGGAAGCCGGGCUGCUGCGUGACACCUAGACAUGAUGUCAGCUCCCCCCCCCCAGUCACUUUCCCAAGUCAGUGUGCCUGCCUGGUAAGCUGGGGUGGGGAGGAACAAACAGACCCCCUUUUCCUUUCCACCACCCCCAAACAAAAGAAAGAAAAAGGGACCCAUUUCCCCUCCUAUUGGCAAGGUGGUAAGAUCGGAACAGUAUUCUUCAGUCACCAAAUGCCUGAGUAAACACGGAUGUUUUCCAAUACUUCCUGAAUAAUUACGGAGACAGAUGCACCUCAAAAGGGAGGGCAUUUCACCACUGGGGAAUCACCACUGAAAAGGCUCUCCCAUGGGUCUAAGGGUAUAAGAUGGUGUGUACUGCAUGGGUCUAAGGGUAUAAGAUGUUGUGUACUGCAGUCCAGCCCUACCAGCAGGACUGGGUUGGAAGAGUUUAUAUUUUAAAAUUCAUGUACGUAUCUUUCUGUAAUUUAGCAUCUGAGACAUACCGCAAGGACGUGGUGUUCUGUGGAGAUGUCAGCUGAUCGGCUGACAACCAAUGAUCUGCAGCAACAAAAUGCCUCUGAAAUGCUUCUUCAAUAGCGGUCACUGGGUAGGCCCUCGAACUCACAAAGCUGUAAAUAACAGGAAUUGCCUUGAAAAUUCAGCAACAUUCUGAACAUUUACUUCUUCUAUCACAUGGCUAGCCUACCUGGCUUGCAAAUGUUAGGUGGCUUGCUAUAAAGUUUUUUAUGGAAAUAUUGCAAAUAGUUUUAAGGAAACCCUGUAUUAAACUAAUGGAUAAUCAAUGAACACACACUAAAAUCCCACUGUGGCUUCUGAUGGAUCAUCCUGCUGUUGUUUUACUUAUCCAUUCACAUUUAUAUCCUGCCUUUCUCUCAUCAUGGAACCCAAAGCAACAUACACGUGGUUCCCUGGUGGUAUCCUAUCCAGCCGCUGACUGUCGUCAGAACAUGCCAACCUGAGGCCAACCUUCUUGCUCAUAUUGCUUGAGUAUAGCCCAGAAUUAGAGUUUGGCAUUUCCUCAAGAGGGAGUUAAUGUUUUGGAGAUAAUUGGGGAUCUCUGUAUCUGAAUGAGAUAUCAGUCAACCAGGAGUGAACAACAUGUUGCCCUCCAGAUAUUAUUGGACUAUAGCACCCAUCAUCUCUGACCAUUCACCAUGCUAACUAGAGUCCAACAAUAUCUGGAGAACUGCAGGUUGCCCAUCUCUGCUUUGUUGCUUACCACCCUCCAGCCGGGGUGUUUGUGUGCGUGAAUGAAAAAAUAGUUUGCACUAUCUGAAGGGAUGGAAUCAGAGAGCGAGCUCAAAGUUGGCUGAAGGCCCCUUGUGUUGGAAAUGUGGAACUGACAUAGGGUAGCAGGCCUGCUGGUUUUAGGGCUGUUUGCUACUUGCCUCCCCUUUGACUCUACCCUUACAUUUGUAAAUGAAACAUAGAGUCGCAAUAAGUCUCCUGUGCCAUCCUGUGUCAAAAGCAGGUGACACAGAGACAGCAACAAAAAGCCCCUGUCAGUUUCUUGGCGAAGUACUGUUAAUCCAAUUUGUUUGUUUGUUUACAACAUUUGUAUGCUAAUCACAUAACACAAAGUUAUAUUUCCAGGGGCUUUACUGAUUAAUAGUGUUUUGUAGUAAAUAUGCACUUUCUGCAAAAAUAAAAAAUAAUCAGCACUUUGCUGCAGAAACCACCUUGGUUUUUAGCACCUGGGUUGUAUUUCAGAAAGCCAGGUAUAAUGAGAGGGACUUCCCUUUUAAAGCAAGCAACAGUUUGACAUACAAAUCCUUCAUUUCCAUGUUCAUUUCCUAUGCAGUACCUUGAGAUACCUAAGUAUUUACAUGUAACUCUUCCAUAGGUUUCUUGCCAGUUUUCUGAACACACAGUCCUCCAGGCUCCGUAAGCAAACACUUGCAACACAGCCUUCUUGCCACUCAGUCUGACUGUGAGAUACAGAGAGAAAGGCCGUAAAUAGCUAAUAAGCAAAUGCUGUGACUGAAUCAGUGUACUAAUGUACUGUAUCUCUCGAGAUCCGAUGAAUUUUGGCAUUGGUUUUUGUGCAUUUGUUCCUAUUUCAUGCAAUAAAGGUAUUAUUAUUAUUAUUAUUUAUUACUUAUACUCCACCCAUCUGGCUGGGUUUCCCCAGCCACUCUGGGUGGCUUCCAACAGGAGAUUAAACAUACAUUAAAACAUCAGUCAUUAAAAACUUCCCUAAACAGGGCUUUAUAACAAAAUAGGUUAUGAAUGUAAAAUAAAAAAAUGCUAUCUUGAAAACCCAUGAAGGUUGAGAUCUCCCCCCCCCCCCUACUCUGUUCCAUAGAAGCCAAAUCCUAGGGGUCAAGGUCCCUUCACACACACCCCAAAAAUUUUUUUGAUGGGCAUUGCCAUUUAAAUGGUAUGUGCACGCCACAUCAUGUGAUCGAUUAUGGGGGACAGGCCUUACCUGGCUCUCCCAAUAUUUAUUCAAGUUGGAACGCCUGCUCUGCUCAUACUCUGCACUUGGUAAUCUUCUAGAGCAGUGCUUUCCAAAAUAUGGUACAUGUGCCCUCAGGAGCAGGCAAAGAGUUUUUGAAGGGUAAACAGCAGAAUUUGCUCUAGUUUACAAAAAACAAUACUAUUAAAACUACUCUCAAAGUAUCUUCACCUGAGAAUGGAUAUGGUUGUAAGACUAAACUCUCAAAAGCUUAUGCAAUUAUGGUAAGUUUGGGAAACAUUGUUCUAGAGAGGUAGCCAUGUCAGCCUCUCGCAGCCAAAAAAAAAAAUGUACCGUAUUGUGGUGCCUUAAAGGUUGCCUCCAGAAUUUGUCGAUGGGAUUCAAUCACAUACUGGGGUAUAAGUCUGUGUCAUUAAAAUGGAUUUAAGUUCACUGUCAAAACAAAUCUGAUUUUUUUAAAAAGCACAAAGGACUUUUGUGGCUGGGAAACUGAUAAGGAGCCACACUAAAAAGUUUGGGAUAAAUGACUGGUUGAAAGGAAACGAUUUAACCGCAAGGAAAUCAGGAUGGAUGCUUAUUGUAGUAUAACUUCCCCUCAAGCAAUUCAGCAUGAAUGUUCAAUAAAGCACAGUCAUCAUAUGACUUCUGCGUAAUCUUUGUGCGAGCAAAUCUUUGUGUGCUCAAUAAUCUGGAGAAGCCCAAAGAUAGAGAUGGGAGAUAAAUUCAAGUUUCUUUACUUUUUCAUAGAAUCAUAUCAUACAACCAUAGACUUGUAAAGUUGGAAAGGACCCCAAAGUUCAUCAAGUCCACCCCCUGUGAUUUUUAAUAAGAAAAUACAUAACUCGCACUUCUUGAACCAAUAUGUGAACCAAAACACAGCCAUUCCUCUAAAUUUGCACCUCUCCCAAUUUUGCAAUGCUGUUCUCCAAAUGAUGUGUAUACAACUGCCUAUAUUAUGGAAAACUGCAUAUAAAAAUGCAUUAGUGAAAAUAACAUGCAAAAAUACAUUUUAAUAGGGGAAACUACAUACAAAAAUGUAUUAGGAGAAAUGUGCACUGAAAUGCUGACAAAUUUCAAUGAUUAUUUUUUUAAAAUCUGCAAAUUGCUGUGGAAGUGUGGAGAAUUGGAUUUAAGAUUGGGGAAAAAUGAGAAAAGUAAGAGAAACAAAAAUUGUCAGAUUCAUCCAUCCCUACCCAAGGAAUAACACAUUUAUUUGUGGCACAGCCAUUCUGCCAUUCCGCAUAAUUUCUGUUUCUCUACAUGUGAUCAUGAGCGCUCUUGACCUAGAAAUUGCCCUCAGUGUCCUGCCAUAUUGAAAGGUAACAAUAGUAACUUCAGUUCAUGCAAAAAGAAUGCAGCAAACAAUGGUCAACCAUGUUUCGUUUGGGAAUAUUGAAUGGAAUGUUUCAAACAGAGCUUGGAUUUGGUUUUUAACAAAAAAUAUCAAAACUAAGUUUUGAGGGGAAGUAGCAUGUGUAAUCCAGAAUCAAAUCAAAGUUACCACAUCUAUACUCAUCCUCUCCAUCUCUACAGUUGAAGACUCCAUCACAUCUUGCUGUUUGGUCAAUACAUCUGAAGGACGACCUGCACCGAAAUCCCCCAAUGCAGUUGAAGUAAACUGACAGGAUGAAAGGAAAUCAUAUCAAGUUAAUACGGCAUAUCCUUGGCUUGGCAGCAAUAUUAUGAUUAUG